This 529-nucleotide ribosomal RNA is filed under the name uncultured bacterium. Its description in RNAcentral is "bacterial SSU rRNA". It matches the Rfam family "Bacterial small subunit ribosomal RNA", at positions 28 to 576 of the family's 1533-position model. The record is from RNAcentral.
GACGAACGCUGGCGGCGUGCCUAACACAUGCAAGUCGAGCGAUGAAACCCUUCGGGGUGGAUUAGCGGCGGACGGGUGAGUAACACGUGGGUAACCUGCCUCAAAGAGGGGAAUAGCCUCCGAAAGGGAGAUUAAUACCGCAUAAUAUGUUUUGAUCGCAUGAUUGAAACAUCAAAGGAGUAAUCCGCUUUGAGAUGGACCCGCGGCGCAUUAGCUAGUUGGUGAGGUAACGGCUCACCAAGGCGACGAUGCGUAGCCGACCUGAGAGGGUGAUCGGCCACAUUGGAACUGAGACACGGUCCACACUCCUACGGGAGGCAGCAGUGAGGAAUAUUGCGCAGUGGGGGAAACCCUGACGCAGCAACGCCGCGUGAAUGAUGAAGGUCUUCGGGUUGUAAAGUUCUGUCUUCUGGGACGAUAAUGGCGGUACCAGAGGAGGAAGCCACGGCUAACUACGUGCCAGCAGCCGCGGUAAUACGUAGGUGGCAAGCGUUGUCCUGUAUUUACUGGGCGUAAAGGAUGCGUAGGC